GAGUACCUAUGUAUUCGAUUGCCAAGUGUUUAUUCGAGUUGUAUAAAAGAAAAUUUUAGCCGGCCUAUACUAUAGUGUUUUUCAAAAUCCAAAAGUUUUUGUUAUCCUUAAAAUAAGUUUAUCUUUACAACGUUCUGUUUCUAAUGAGAACGAAUUAAUCCCAAAUGAUUUUAUUAAUAAACACUCGUUUUAUAGAGUUGUUUUUAUAAAAAAAAAA
Cinara cedri is the source of this 217-nucleotide non-coding RNA. The record is from the annotation of a GenBank genome assembly. NCBI's taxonomy places the organism in Eukaryota, Metazoa, Arthropoda, Insecta, Hemiptera, Aphididae.